CGGGGGGGAGUUCUCCCAGUGGAUGCAAACACAAACAAAUAUUUUUUUAAACUAAUUCAGUCAACACAAGAUUUCUUUUAGUAGAAAACAACUUCAAAACUUUCAACAAUGGAUCUCUUGGUUCUCGCAUCGAUGAAGAACGCAGCGAAAUGCGAUACGUAAUGUGAAUUGCAGAAUUCCGUGAAUCAUCGAAUCUUUGAACGCACAUUGCGCCCUCUGGUAUUCCGGGGGGCAUGCCUGUUUGAGCGUCAUUUC
RNAcentral lists this ribosomal RNA (255 nucleotides) under Nakaseomyces glabratus. RNAcentral describes it as "[Candida] glabrata 5.8S rRNA". The stretch from base 98 to 251 matches the Rfam family "5.8S ribosomal RNA". Rfam says of the family: 5.8S ribosomal RNA (5.8S rRNA) is a component of the large subunit of the eukaryotic ribosome. It is transcribed by RNA polymerase I as part of the 45S precursor that also contains 18S and 28S rRNA. The record is from RNAcentral. Lineage: Eukaryota; Fungi; Ascomycota; Saccharomycetes; Saccharomycetales; Saccharomycetaceae.